RNAcentral lists this ribosomal RNA (382 nucleotides) under uncultured eukaryote. Its description in RNAcentral is "partial 18S ribosomal RNA". It matches the Rfam family "Eukaryotic small subunit ribosomal RNA", at positions 592 to 976 of the family's 1831-position model. The record is from RNAcentral.
CAAUAGCGUAUAUUAAAGUUGUUGCAGUUAAAAAGCUCGUAGUUGGAUUUCUGGUGAGAUGGAUUAUGUCUAGGUCGAAAGAUCUUGUUCAUGGUUCGUUUUGCCCUUCUUGUCGGGAACCCGCUGAGAUUCGCGUCUUGUCGGUGGAAUGGCAUCGUUUACUGUGAAAAAAUUAGAGUGUUCAAAGCAGGCAUCGCCGUUGAAUACAUUAGCAUGGAAUAAUAAGAUAAGACUUUGGUGGUCUAUUUUGUUGGUUUGCACGCCAAAGUAAUGAUUAAUAGGGAUAGUUGGGGGUAUUCGUAUUCUAUUGCUAGAGGUGAAAUUCUUAAAUUUAUGGAAGACGAACUACUGCGAAAGCAUUUACCAAGGAUGUUUUCAUUAA